This is a long non-coding RNA of Numida meleagris (helmeted guineafowl), 231 nucleotides long. NCBI's taxonomy places the organism in Eukaryota, Metazoa, Chordata, Aves, Galliformes, Numididae. The record is from Ensembl.
GUCCCUGUUUGUGGGUGGUGUCUGUGGGUGACUGUAGUGGUGUCACGGUGCUGGUGAAGUCACGGUGUUGGUGAAGUCACGGUGUUGGUGGAGUCACGGUGUUGGUGAAGUCACGGUGCUGGUGAAGUCACGGUGUUGGUGGAGUCACGGUGCUGGUGAAGUCACGGUGUUGGCGGUGUCACGGCGGCCUCCAGGCGCUGGGGCUGGAGCGGGUGUCGCGGGAGGAGCUGG